This 300-nucleotide ribosomal RNA is filed under the name uncultured Lactobacillus sp. RNAcentral's name for it is "bacterial SSU rRNA". It matches the Rfam family "Bacterial small subunit ribosomal RNA", at positions 494 to 793 of the family's 1533-position model. The record is from RNAcentral. Lineage: Bacteria; Bacillati; Bacillota; Bacilli; Lactobacillales; Lactobacillaceae.
AGAGGUAGUCCGGGCCAGUGGGCGCUGUAAGACGUAUGAUGCAAUCGUUAGCCGGAAUCAUUUGUUUUAAAGGGUCCUAAGGCUGCCUGAUAAGUCAGCUGUGAAAGUUGUUGGGUUAACCAAAAAAUUGCCAUUGAUACUGUAUGGCUUGAAUAUUUGUGAAGUAACUAGAAUAUGUAGUGUAGCGGUGAAAUGCUUAGAUAUUACAUGGAAUACCAAUUGCGAAGGCAGGUUACUAACAAAUGAUUGACGCUGAUGGACGAAAGCGUGGGUAGCGAACAGGAUUAGAUACCCCAGUAG